CCUACGGGUGGCAGCAGUGAGGAAUAUUGGUCAAUGGACGAGAGUCUGAACCAGCCAAGUAGCGUGAAGGAUGACUGCCCUAUGGGUUGUAAACUUCUUUUAUAAAGGAAUAAAACGAGGCACGUGUGCCUUUUUGCAUGUACUUUAUGAAUAAGGAUCGGCUAACUCCGUGCCAGCAGCCGCGGUAAUACGGAGGAUCCGAGCGUUAUCCGGAUUUAUUGGGUUUAAAGGGUGCGUAGAUGGGUUGUUAAGUCAGUUGUGAAAUUUUGCGGCUCAACCGUAAAAUUGCAAUUGAUACUGGCAGUCUUGAGUACAGUUGAGGUAGGCGGAAUGCGUGGUGUAGCGGUGAAAUGCUUAGAUAUCACGAAGAACCCCGAUUGCGAAGGCAGCUUACUAAACUGUGACUGACAUUGAUGCUCGAAAGUGUGGGUAUCAAACAGGAUUAGAUACCCGAGUAGUC
RNAcentral lists this ribosomal RNA (460 nucleotides) under uncultured bacterium. Its description in RNAcentral is "partial 16S ribosomal RNA". It matches the Rfam family "Bacterial small subunit ribosomal RNA", at positions 338 to 795 of the family's 1533-position model. The record is from RNAcentral.